RNAcentral lists this long non-coding RNA (256 nucleotides) under Mytilus galloprovincialis (Mediterranean mussel). The record is from RNAcentral. Lineage: Eukaryota; Metazoa; Mollusca; Bivalvia; Mytilida; Mytilidae.
GUAUUUUGUAGUAUAUUUCCUCCAUCUAGUUUAUGUGUAAAAGAGUGUUAACAAGAAUAAUACUAACAAGAAAGGACAAUUCAUACAAAUAACAAAAUAAUAUAUAGUUUCUACUGACCAAUAGUUAUCUCUUGUCAGAUUUAUAUGCACCAAUCAAUUUUUAAUUUUUGGAUUUGAAUUUUUGAACUCUUUUAUAUUCAAUUUCUUCCUAACUCUGAAUGGAAUUUGCUCCCUUGUGUAAAUUUUCCAUAAACAU